Molecule: long non-coding RNA, 1774 nt
Organism: Cervus elaphus (red deer)
Lineage: Eukaryota; Metazoa; Chordata; Mammalia; Artiodactyla; Cervidae
Exons: 2
Source: RefSeq, a predicted model, not a curated record
AGCUCCUUGUCCAGACAGAAGACCGGCUCUCUCUUGGGCAGGAUAAAGGCCAGAGGCUCCUGGACGACGCUGACGUUCACGUGCCCCAGGUUUCCGUACUUGGAGAGCUGAGUGGGUGGAAUGCCUGAUCCAGAAGGUCUGUGUGAUCUGAGCUGGAGGAAAGAGGACUUGGAGACAGCGAUUUAAAUAAGGAACAAGGUCUUCCAGGAAGACAGUGCAGAACUGGACAAAGAGCUCUUGCUCCCCACUGCUGAAGGCAGCCUCUUCUGCACGAUGGAAGGCCAGGAUUACUUUAGUUACCUAGGAGAAAAGGGCACCACCAAUUACCUGUUAAUCUAUCCCCAUCAGCAGUGACAAAGAUGUGCAGCCCUCAAGUUUUCUGAAAGAACACUCCUUCCAAACAGUACAUCAUUAUCUUGUAUUUCACAACUGUGGUCAGUCUUCACAAUUCUGUCACUUCAAUGAUGUAUUCCUUACUCAACUAGUUUCAUUAUUGGCGCAGUUUCCAAUUCCAGUGCAGGAACAUCAUGAAAUACACAGAAUACAACAUUUUUGGCUCCAAUGGGAGAUGGACUAGAACUCUGAUGGAUCCAGGAAAAUACCAGCAAUACCAUGAAAGGUUUUACUGAGUAAGGCCUCUGAAGUUCCAAAAUGCUAGAACCACUAGAAAAUUGUAAAGGAGCAGGAAAACAGAGCUGGAAAAGAACAUACAUUAUUUCCACAUACAAAGAACAUUCAUUAUUUCCACAUACAAAUAACAGAGCAAGCCUAGCUAACAUUACAGAGAGGUGUCAUGGUGACAGGGUUAAGAACAGACACUCUGGGAAACUGCCUGGUGCUUCAGUGGUUAGAAAUCUGUGCUUUCACUGCCAAGGGCCUGGGUUCAAUCCCUGGUCACAAGCUGCAAUGUCCCGCCAAACAAACAAGUAAAUAACAAAGAGCCUCUGGUGCUAGAUGUUCUGGGCUCUAGUUCCAGCUGUGCACUCAGUGCUUCUGUGGAGGUAAGCUCUAGAUGGGUACUAGCUAAUUCUAUUAUCUGAAUUUCACUGACCCUAAAAAGCCUCACUGCUCAUGCUUUCUUGCUGUUUUCAACAGAAAGACUCAAUGCAAGCAUGUCACAACUGCCACCUGGUUGACAGGGAUUAUAGGAUGCCAUCAACUGUAAGAAGCACCUCAACAUCUAAAGAUGUAAUGUUUAAAAACGUGCACCAUACUCAGAAAUUAGUAGGAUCAGUAGUGUUACUUAUAUUAGAUGGAAUUCUAAGACGGCUCUUGUGAUCCCCACCUCCUGGUACCCACUCCUUUGUGUUUUCUCCUCCUCCUUGAGCGCAGGCAGAACCAAUAGGAUAUGGCAAAGGUGAAGGAUUCUGCAGUUUUCAUUAACAUCCCAAAUCGGCUGACUGUGAAUUAAUGAAAAAGGAAGUUAUCCUGGGUGGGCCUGACUUAAUUAGAUGAACCUCUUAAAAAGAGGGCUGAGGAAGAGACUUUGAGCAGGAGAGAUGCGCUCCCACUGGCCCUGAAGAAUCAAAAACUGUGAACUGCUCAUGGAGUGGGGUGGUCUCCAGGAGUUGAGGGCCUCAGUCCUACAACUGUAAGGAACAGGAAUAUGCCACUGUGAAUGAACCUGAAAGGAGGGGAUCCCGAGCCCCAGAGGAGUCCACAGUCGGGCCAACACCUCGAUUACAACCUCGUGAGCAGAAGCUCAACCCAGUUAUACUGUGCCUGGACUCCUGACCCAAAGAAACUGAGACAUGAUAAAUAUGUGUUGUUUUAA